This 439-nucleotide ribosomal RNA is filed under the name Enterococcus faecium. RNAcentral describes it as "bacterial SSU rRNA". It matches the Rfam family "Bacterial small subunit ribosomal RNA", at positions 810 to 1248 of the family's 1533-position model. Lineage: Bacteria; Bacillati; Bacillota; Bacilli; Lactobacillales; Enterococcaceae. The record is from RNAcentral.
UGAGUGCUAAGUGUUGGAGGGUUUCCGCCCUUCAGUGCUGCAGCUAACGCAUUAAGCACUCCGCCUGGGGAGUACGACCGCAAGGUUGAAACUCAAAGGAAUUGACGGGGGCCCGCACAAGCGGUGGAGCAUGUGGUUUAAUUCGAAGCAACGCGAAGAACCUUACCAGGUCUUGACAUCCUUUGACCACUCUAGAGAUAGAGCUUCCCCUUCGGGGGCAAAGUGACAGGUGGUGCAUGGUUGUCGUCAGCUCGUGUCGUGAGAUGUUGGGUUAAGUCCCGCAACGAGCGCAACCCUUAUUGUUAGUUGCCAUCAUUCAGUUGGGCACUCUAGCAAGACUGCCGGUGACNAACCGGAGGAAGGUGGGGAUGACGUCAAAUCAUCAUGCCCCUUAUGACCUGGGCUACACACGUGCUACGAUGGGAAAGUACAACGAGUU